Arachis ipaensis is the source of this 877-nucleotide long non-coding RNA. RefSeq lists it as uncharacterized. The record is from RefSeq and is a predicted model, not a curated record. Lineage: Eukaryota; Viridiplantae; Streptophyta; Magnoliopsida; Fabales; Fabaceae.
UGCCUCCACAACUUCUCCAAAUUCAUUCCUUCCUUCCUUCAGAGUUCAGAAAGCUCAACAUAACCAAAGAAAAAGUGAAAACUCUCUACCGCCGAACGGAGUGAGCCAUUGCCACCGUCUGUUGCAGUAUCGGGCUUCUCUCUUUGUCCUAUGGGCAUUCUCCAAGUCCAACCCUGUUCGCUCUCACUAGUUGCAGAUGCACAACUUCUUCCUCAAGCUCGGCGUUUGUCGUCUUCGUCUGCUCACCGUCCAGCUCGUCAUCAUCUAAUCGCCGUCGUUCGUCGCGCUCAACCGCUCUCCAUUGUGCUCAACCGCUCUCGAAGCUUUGGCUCAAACCAAGCUUUUUCCCCCCAAAACAAACCUUAGAUGACAGUAGCCUCCCCCCACCGCAAGGAGGAAACUCACUGCCAUCGUCUGUCGCGCUUAGCCACCACCGUCGUCGACCGGUCAUCCAUGCUUCUUCCUUAUUCGCCAAUCACACCUUCUUCCUCAAGCUUGACGUUAGUCCUUAUCUUCGUCUGCUCUGUCACACUCCUGCUGCCGUCCGUCACGCUCAGGCACCACCGUCUUUGUUUCGUCCUCGUGCUCAAAGUCUUCAACCCACCAAUCGGAAUCAAGGUUUAGGAUUUUGCUAGUGCUAUUUAUAUUGGUUUCUUUGGUUUUUUUUCUAAUUUUUAAUUCUUGGUUCUUUGUUCUUCGGUUAGGAUUCUUUGUUCUUGAUUCUGCUUAUGCUAGUGCUACUCAAAGUGAAUUGUUGAAUGAUUAGCUUUGCUUACUAUUGUUGUGCUGUGUUGUACUCUAUUUUGUUGCUUUUUGUUUGUGCUGUGCUGAAAAAAAUUGCACUGAAAUCCUAAAACCUUGAAAUCUUUCUUGUUAA